RNAcentral lists this unclassified non-coding RNA (240 nucleotides) under soil metagenome. RNAcentral describes it as "partial contains 5.8S ribosomal RNA, internal transcribed spacer 2, and large subunit ribosomal RNA". The record is from RNAcentral.
AACUGAUACUACCUGCGGGAACCUGCGGAGGGAUCAUUAAUUAAGAUGAUGCCCUUCUUAGGGAACUCCUCCCGGCAUUGGCCGGGUGCAUUCAUCUCUCCUUGUGAAUAAACUUAUUGCUUUGGUAGCAUCCCAUAGUUGGGUUAUUAGUCUACUGCUAGCUUACAAUAAAAUCUUUAUGAUAUUCUGUGAGCCGUCUGAAAACAAAAAAAAGUAAAAAUUUUAUAAAACUUUCAACAA